RNAcentral lists this transfer RNA (66 nucleotides) under Sitochroa verticalis. RNAcentral's name for it is "tRNA-Asp". The record is from RNAcentral. Lineage: Eukaryota; Metazoa; Arthropoda; Insecta; Lepidoptera; Crambidae.
AAAGAAUUAGUUAAAAAAUAACAUAAAUAUGUCAAAUUUAAAUUAUUAUUAUUAUAAUAUUCUUUU